RNAcentral lists this long non-coding RNA (273 nucleotides) under Coffea arabica (coffee). RNAcentral describes it as "long non-coding RNA (CARA_LNC008294)". The record is from RNAcentral. Lineage: Eukaryota; Viridiplantae; Streptophyta; Magnoliopsida; Gentianales; Rubiaceae.
GUACACCCUCAGCACCUGGGAUAUGGGGAAGGCGGCGUCAAGACCCUCUUUCCUCAGAGGGGCCCGUCGGCAAUUCAAGUCCUGGCAGUUGUCACUCUCCUCCCUGUUGGUGGCACCCUCUUUGGUCUCGCUGGUCUCACAUUAGUUGGGACCUUGAUCGGCCUUGCCCUCACCACCCCACUCUUUGUGAUCUGCAGCCCGGUUCUGGUGCCUGCUGUUGUCCUCUUCGGCCUGGCCGUCACUGGCUUCCUCUCGUCUGGAGCCUUCGGUCUC